UUGACAGAGACAAGAUGUGACUGGAUCCAAGGCAGGCAGCAAGUACGAGCUCUAGUUUACGUCUGUCUCCAGGCGCUAGCUUCUCCUUUCAACGGAGCAGGAGAAGAGUACACACGCAGGAAAGCCAAGCACUAAGAGUGUGGUCAAAAGUUUUCAAGAGGUGCAUGUAUUUGGAGGUGGGAGGAACCCGGAGUACCAGGAGAGAACCCACGCAGUCAUUGGGAGAACAUACCAACUUACACACAGACAUGGAAACAGACGUCUUCCUUCCGUGUUCCUUCCUCAUAUCAUUGUCCUGCCUAGCGGAGUCUGAGGUUGGCAACAGCAGGCUCUGCUCAACGCAAGAUGAUAAACAGUGACUGCCAAGCACUGAGCCAGAUGGUCAUGGAGAGGGUG
Molecule: long non-coding RNA, 396 nt
Organism: Nerophis ophidion (straightnose pipefish)
Lineage: Eukaryota; Metazoa; Chordata; Actinopteri; Syngnathiformes; Syngnathidae
Exons: 3
Source: RefSeq, a predicted model, not a curated record